This 596-nucleotide ribosomal RNA is filed under the name uncultured Bacteroidota bacterium. Its description in RNAcentral is "bacterial SSU rRNA". It matches the Rfam family "Bacterial small subunit ribosomal RNA", at positions 9 to 603 of the family's 1533-position model. The record is from RNAcentral. Lineage: Bacteria; Pseudomonadati; Bacteroidota.
GAGUUUGAUCCUGGUCAGGAUGAACGCUAGCGGCAGGCUUAACACAUGCAAGUCGAGGGGCAGCACGGGUAGCAAUACUUGGUGGCGACCGGCGCAAGGGUGCGUAACGCGUGAGCAACAUGCCCGUAUCAGGGGAAUAAUCCAGGGAAACUUGGUCUAAUACCCCAUAGCAAUUAUUUGAGGCAUCUUAAAUAAUUUAAAGCUUUGGUGGAUACGGAUUGGCUCGCGUGACAUUAGCUAGAUGGUAAGGUAACGGCUUACCAUGGCUACGAUGUCUAGGGGUUCUGAGAGGAAGAUCCCCCACACUGGAACUGAGACACGGUCCAGACUCCUACGGGAGGCAGCAGUGAGGAAUAUUGGACAAUGGAUGGAAAUCUGAUCCAGCCAUGCCGCGUGCAGGAAGACGGCCCUAUGGGUUGUAAACUGCUUUUGUAUGGGAGCAAUAAGGUCUAUGCGUAGACUGAUGAGAGUACCAUACGAAUAAGCAUCGGCUAACUCCGUGCCAGCAGCCGCGGGUAAUACGGGGAAGCAAGCGUUAUCCGGAUUAUUUGGGUUUAAAGGGUGCGUGGCGUUUGAUAAGUCAGCGGUGUAAUAUU